RNAcentral lists this ribosomal RNA (492 nucleotides) under Triticum aestivum (bread wheat). RNAcentral describes it as "partial small subunit ribosomal RNA". Lineage: Eukaryota; Viridiplantae; Streptophyta; Magnoliopsida; Poales; Poaceae. The record is from RNAcentral.
AUGUGCGCCAUUAUCAAGCCUGAUUCAAAGAAGGCGAUGUACACAAGCAAGCAAACUGCAGACAAGAAGGAAAAUAAGUUUCUCUCCGUGGUUCACUUGCUGUUGUUCUCUGUCCACGAGACAGAGCUUCAGUCUCUCAUAACUCGUAAUAGGUCGAUGUACUAUCACCUGCAUCCGUCAUCUACUCGUGGAGCUCUGGAGAUACUUCAGAUACGACACAGUGGCCUACGUGUCCAAAUGAGGGAGACCCGGCGUCCAAGUCACGGACAAUAUGUCGAGCCGUGGCACCAUCCAGCUACAAGAGUCGGCCGCCCAGGACGGCAAUGUCGGCAAGAUACUCCACGUAAUUCUGACCUCCCCAUCCUCUUGUUUGAUCCUUCUUGCUAUGCUUUUUUAGCUGCUGAUGGUUGGCGUACCAUGUUGUGCGUAGAGGACAGAGGACAGGGGGAAAGAGUACGACAAUAUUGUGAGAUCAAGAGUUAUGAUUUGUGA